Molecule: ribosomal RNA, 424 nt
Filed under: uncultured prokaryote
Description: bacterial SSU rRNA
Rfam family: Bacterial small subunit ribosomal RNA
Source: RNAcentral
UGAGGAAUAUUGGACAAUGGGGGCAACCCUGAUCCAGCCAUGCCGCGUGAGUGAUGAAGGCCUUAGGGUUGUAAAACUCUUUCGCUAGGGAAGAUAAUGACGGUACCUAGUAAAGAAGCCCCGGCUAAUUUCGUGCCAGCAGCCGCGGUAAUACGAAAGGGGCUAGCGUUGUUCGGAAUUACUGGGCGUAAAGCGCGCGUAGGCGGCACAGCAAGUUGGGGGUGAAAUCCCGGAGCUCAACUCCGGAACUGCCUCCAAAACUGCUGAGCUAGAGGAUGUGAGAGGAUAGUGGAAUUCCAAGUGUAGAGGUGAAAUUCGUAGAUAUUUGGAAGAACACCAGUGGCGAAGGCGACUGUCUGGCACAUUUCUGACGCUGAGGUGCGAAAGCGUGGGGAGCAAACAGGAUUAGAUACCCCCGUAGUCC